This 263-nucleotide ribosomal RNA is filed under the name uncultured Streptococcaceae bacterium. RNAcentral's name for it is "partial 16S ribosomal RNA". It matches the Rfam family "Bacterial small subunit ribosomal RNA", at positions 524 to 786 of the family's 1533-position model. The record is from RNAcentral. Lineage: Bacteria; Bacillati; Bacillota; Bacilli; Lactobacillales; Streptococcaceae.
UACGUAGGUCCCGAGCGUUGUCCGGAUUUAUUGGGCGUAAAGCGAGCGCAGGCGGUUAGAUAAGUCUGAAGUUAAAGGCUGUGGCUUAACCAUAGUACGCUUUGGAAACUGUUUAACUUGAGUGCAAGAGGGGAGAGUGGAAUUCCAUGUGUAGCGGUGAAAUGCGUAGAUAUAUGGAGGAACACCGGUGGCGAAAGCGGCUCUCUGGCUUGUNAACUGACGCUGAGGCUCGAAAGCGUGGGGAGCAAACAGGAUUAGAUACC